AUACGGAGGGUGCAAGCGUUACUCGGAAUCACUGGGCGUAAAGCGCGCGCAGGCGGCUUGAUAAGUUGGAUGUGAAAGCCCACGGCUCAACCGUAGAACUGCAUCCAAAACUGUCAGGCUAGAGUGUGGGAGAGGAAGAUGGAAUUAGUUGUGUAGGGGUAAAAUCCGUAGAGAUAACUAGGAAUACCAAAAGCGAAGGCAAUCUUCUGGAACACUACUGACGCUGAGGCGCGAAGGCGUGGGGAGCAAACAGGAUUAGAAACCCCGGUAGUCC
Molecule: ribosomal RNA, 274 nt
Filed under: uncultured bacterium
Lineage: Bacteria
Description: partial 16S ribosomal RNA
Rfam family: Bacterial small subunit ribosomal RNA
Source: RNAcentral